CCGUGCUACACGGGGAGGUAGCGGUGCCCUGUACCUGCAAUCCGCUAUAGCAGGGUGGAAUUCCUGUCCCCGGCAUUAUUCCGUGGGGUCUGACCGUUGUAAGUGACGUUGAAGAUUGGGUCUUACGCAAUACGAACUUGUGAACCCCGUCAGGUCCGGAAGGAAGCAGCGGUAAGCAGGAACUCGUGUGUGCCGUAAGGGCGCCUGGUCCGAGUUAACUGCAGCGGUAACGCUCGGGGAGUAAUCGUCAAAGACAGGUGCACGG
This 265-nucleotide signal recognition particle RNA is filed under the name Firmicutes bacterium HGW-Firmicutes-8. RNAcentral describes it as "signal recognition particle sRNA large type". It matches the Rfam family "Bacterial large signal recognition particle RNA". From Rfam's summary of the family: The signal recognition particle (SRP) is a universally conserved ribonucleoprotein involved in the co-translational targeting of proteins to membranes. Archaeal SRP consists of a 7S RNA and homologues of the eukaryotic SRP19 and SRP54 proteins. Lineage: Bacteria; Bacillati; Bacillota. The record is from RNAcentral.